UACGGAGGGUGCAAGCGUUAAUCGGAAUUACUGGGCGUAAAGCGUGCGUAGACGGUUAUGUAAGUCAGGUGUGAAAGCCCCGGGCUCAACCUGGGAAUGGCAUUUGAGACUGCAUAGCUAGGGUGCGGAAGAGGGAAGCGGAAUUUCCGGUGUAGCGGUGAAAUGCGUAGAUAUCGGAAGGAACGCCGGUGGCGAAAGCGGCGGACUGGACCUCUUCUGACGCUGAGGCGCGAAAGCCAGGGGAGCAAACGGG
This 253-nucleotide ribosomal RNA is filed under the name uncultured bacterium. Its description in RNAcentral is "partial 16S ribosomal RNA". It matches the Rfam family "Bacterial small subunit ribosomal RNA", at positions 524 to 776 of the family's 1533-position model. The record is from RNAcentral.